Molecule: long non-coding RNA, 127 nt
Organism: Homarus americanus (American lobster)
Lineage: Eukaryota; Metazoa; Arthropoda; Malacostraca; Decapoda; Nephropidae
Exons: 3
Source: RefSeq, a predicted model, not a curated record
UGGUUUGUAUUAUCGAGGUUCAGUACACUGGUCUAUGACAUAAAGGUUCACUACUCUGGUUUAUAUUAUCGAGGUUCAGUACACUGGUUCAUAGUAUCGAGGUCCCGACACAAAAGUUGACGAGACU